RNAcentral lists this ribosomal RNA (437 nucleotides) under uncultured Oscillibacter sp. Its description in RNAcentral is "partial 16S ribosomal RNA". It matches the Rfam family "Bacterial small subunit ribosomal RNA", at positions 341 to 792 of the family's 1533-position model. The record is from RNAcentral. Lineage: Bacteria; Bacillati; Bacillota; Clostridia; Eubacteriales; Oscillospiraceae.
ACGGGAGGCAGCAGUGGGGAAUAUUGGGCAAUGGGCGAAAGCCUGACCCAGCGACGCCGCGUGAAGGAAGAAGGUCCUCGGAUUGUAAACUCCUUUUAUAUGGGACGAAACAAAUGACGGUACCAUAUGAAUAAGCCACGGCUAACUACGUGCCAGCAGCCGCGGUAAUACGUAGGUGGCAAGCGUUAUCCGGAUUUACUGGGUGUAAAGGGCGUGUAGCCGGGUCGGCAAGUCAGAUGUGAAAUCCAUGGGCUUAACUCAUGAACUGCAUUUGAAACUGUUGAUCUUGAGUAUCGGAGAGGCAAUCGGAAUUCCUUGUGUAGCGGUGAAAUGCGUAGAUAUAAGGAGGAACACCAGUGGCGAAGGCGGAUUGCUGGACGACAACUGACGGUGAGGCGCGAAAGCGUGGGGAGCAAACAGGAUUAGAUACCCUGGUA